GACGAACGCUGGCGGCGUGCUUAACACAUGCAAGUCGAACGGAAAGGCCCUGCUUUUGUGGGUUGCUCGAGUGGCGAACGGGUGAGUAACACGUGAGUAACCUGUCCUUGACUUUGGGAUAACUUCACGAAACUGCGGCUCAUACCGGAUAGGAUCUCCUGCUGCAUGGUGGUCGAUGGAAAGAUUCGGCGGUGGUGGAUCGACUCGCUGCUUAUCCGCUUGUUGGGCGGGUAGUCGCUUACCAAGGUUUUGACGGGUAGCCUGCCUGGGAGGGGGACCGGGCUCAUGGGGACUGAGGGAGGCCCCAGACGGGUACGGGAGGCAGCGGUGGAAAGUAUUGCGGAAUGAGCGGAAGCGUGAUGCAACGGCGCCGCGUGCGGAAAGACGGGCUUCGGGUUGUGAACAGCUGUGGCAUGUAACGAAGAGUGAGUGACGGUAAUGAGUAAAAAAGCAACGGCUAACUACGUG
This 468-nucleotide ribosomal RNA is filed under the name uncultured bacterium. RNAcentral's name for it is "partial 16S ribosomal RNA". It matches the Rfam family "Bacterial small subunit ribosomal RNA", at positions 28 to 507 of the family's 1533-position model. The record is from RNAcentral.